AUGCUAGUAGCGGCGAGUGAGCGGCAAAAGCUCAAAUUUGAAAUCUGGCGUCUUUGGCGUCCGAGUUGUAAUUUGAAGAAGGUAUCUUUGGGCCCGGCUCUUGUCUAUGUUCCUUGGAACAGGACGUCACAGAGGGUGAGAAUCCCGUGCGAUGAGAUGACCCGGGUCUGUGUAAAGUUCCUUCGACGAGUCGAGUUGUUUGGGAAUGCAGCUCUAAGUGGGUGGUAAAUUCCAUCUAAAGCUAAAUAUUGGCGAGAGACCGAUAGCGAACAAGUACAGUGAUGGAAAGAUGAAAAGAACUUUGAAAAGAGAGUGAAAAAGUACGUGAAAUUGUUGAAAGGGAAGGGCUUGAGAUCAGACUUGGUAUUUUGCAUGCUGCUCUCUCGGGGGCGGCCGCUGCGGUUUACCGGGCCAGCAUCGGUUUGGAGCGGCAGGAUAAUGGCGGAGGAAUGUGGCACGGCUUCUGCUGUGUGUUAUAGCCUCUGACGAUACUGCCAGCCUAGACCGAGGACUGCGGUUUUUAACCUAGGAUGUUGGCAUAAUGAUCUUAAGUCGCCCGUCUUGAAACACGGACCCA
RNAcentral lists this ribosomal RNA (577 nucleotides) under Candida albicans. RNAcentral describes it as "eukaryotic LSU rRNA". It matches the Rfam family "Eukaryotic large subunit ribosomal RNA", at positions 73 to 669 of the family's 3401-position model. The record is from RNAcentral. Lineage: Eukaryota; Fungi; Ascomycota; Pichiomycetes; Serinales; Debaryomycetaceae.